RNAcentral lists this ribosomal RNA (465 nucleotides) under Leptothrix sp. oral taxon 025. Its description in RNAcentral is "bacterial SSU rRNA". It matches the Rfam family "Bacterial small subunit ribosomal RNA", at positions 29 to 488 of the family's 1533-position model. The record is from RNAcentral. Lineage: Bacteria; Pseudomonadati; Pseudomonadota; Betaproteobacteria; Burkholderiales; Sphaerotilaceae.
AUUGUACGCUGGCGGCAUGCCUUACACAUGCAAGUCGAACGGCAGCGCGGGAGCAAUCCUGGCGGCGAGUGGCGAACGGGUGAGUAAUAUAUCGGAACGUGCCCAGUAGUGGGGGAUAGCCCGGCGAAAGCCGGAUUAAUACCGCAUACGACCUGAGGGUGAAAGCGGGGGAUCGCAAGACCUCGCGCUACUGGAGCGGCCGAUAUCAGAUUAGCUAGUUGGUGGGGUAAAGGCCUACCAAGGCAACGAUCUGUAGUUGGUCUGAGAGGACGACCAGCCACACUGGGACUGAGACACGGCCCAGACUCCUACGGGAGGCAGCAGUGGGGAAUUUUGGACAAUGGGCGCAAGCCUGAUCCCAGCAAUGCCGCGUGCAGGAAGAAGGCCUUCGGGUUGUAAACUGCUUUUGUCAGGGAAGAAUCUUCUGGGCCAAUAUCCCGGGAGGAUGACGGUACCUGAAGAAUA